UUGAACGCUGGCGGCAUGCUUUACACAUGCAAGUCGAACGGUAACAGGCCGCAAGGUGCUGACGAGUGGCGAACGGGUGAGUAAUGCAUCGGAACGUGCCCAGUCGUGGGGGAUAACUACUCGAAAGAGUAGCUAAUACCGCAUACGAUCUAUGGAUGAAAGCGGGGGACCGUAAGGCCUCGCGCGAUUGGAGCGGCCGAUGUCAGAUUAGGUAGUUGGUGGGGUAAAGGCUCACCAAGCCAACGAUCUGUAGCUGGUCUGAGAGGACAACCAGCCACACUGGGACUGAGACACGGCCCAGACUCCUACGGGAGGCAGCAGUGGGGAAUUUUGGACAAUGGGUGCAAGCCUGAUCCAGCAAUGCCGCGUGCAGGAAGAAGGCCUUCGGGUUGUAAACUGCUUUUGUACGGAACGAAACGGCUCUGGUUAAUACCCGGGGCUAAUGACGGUACCGUAAGAAUAAGCACCGGCUAACUACGUG
RNAcentral lists this ribosomal RNA (481 nucleotides) under uncultured bacterium. Its description in RNAcentral is "partial 16S ribosomal RNA". It matches the Rfam family "Bacterial small subunit ribosomal RNA", at positions 30 to 507 of the family's 1533-position model. The record is from RNAcentral.